RNAcentral lists this ribosomal RNA (305 nucleotides) under uncultured bacterium. RNAcentral's name for it is "bacterial SSU rRNA". It matches the Rfam family "Bacterial small subunit ribosomal RNA", at positions 337 to 659 of the family's 1533-position model. The record is from RNAcentral.
UCCUACGGGACACAGCAGUGGGGAAUAUUGCACAAUGGGGGAAACCCUGAUGCAGCGACGCCGCGUGAGUGAAGAAGUAUUUCGGCAUGUAAAGCUCUAUCAGCAGGGAAGAUAAUGACGGUACCUGAGUAAGAAGCCCCGGCUAACUACGUGCCAGCAGCCGCGGUAAUACGUAGGGGGCAAGCGUUAUCCGGAUUUACUGGGUGUAAAGGGAGCGUAGACGGCGAGGUAAGCCUGAAGUGGAAGCCCGCGGCCCAACCGCGGAACUGCUUUGGGAACUGUUUUGCUGGUGUAUGGGAGGGGUA